UUGACUUCACUUAUUUUGAAAAUGUGUAUAUGUCCUUGAUACCUCGUUAAAAUUAUAUACUUUAACCUAACAAUUGUCGAUAUUUUCAGCCAUAAAGUCGAGUUUAAGUGUAUAUUUUUGUAACGUAAACUUAUUCAUAAAGCAGUAUAUUCACAAUAAAGGCAAGAAACAGUUUUAUUAUGAAUUAUGGAAAUAUUAAUUGUGGUAGGUGUGCAAUUUGGAGCCGAAGCAAGAGGUCCAGUUACUCGUUAUCCGUGCCAAACAUCUGCUUUAUGCGGCCCGUGCACAUGCGUCGAGAAUUGGUGUAAGUGUCCGCCAGAUAAAAUAUCGAAGUUCAUUCUUCAAGACAUCUCUACACACCCGCAAGCACAUAAGGAAAUGCCAUAAUCAGCGCUACUUGAUACAUCAAUAUAUAGCAUAUACUUAUGACGUGCCCCAAAAAUCUUAUGUUCUCCCAAUAUGUUCGUUAAAUGUUUGAAUGGAUAAUAAAUAACAUCACCUUCUUACUUAUAGUUUACUUGGUUUGAAUAUUUUUAUAUUUCAUAAUGUUGUGAUGAUAAAGGUGUGGUACACGAGAAAACAGUGAAGUGAUUCUAAAUUACCGAACACAACGAAAAAAAGGCAAUUGAAAUAGUGUAACACCUAACAAUUUUUGCUAAUUAGGCGACAACAUGAAAUUCAAAAGUUUAUAAGAAAUAGUCUUCUAUUCUCAAACUGUUGUUGUAAAUAAGGCAAAUAUAAGUGAUGGUUCUGAAUGACCUCUUUUAAUCACUUGAAAAACAUAUAAAGUUGUAUAGAUAAGGAUUACAACGAAGUUAACUAAUAUAAAAUAAUUAUAUAUUUUAGUCUCAAGCACGUAGUUCUGAAUCCUAAAACAAGUAACUAUUACUAAUUUCUUUAGUGUGUGCUAAAUAUGAUUAUUUCUUACUAAUUUCGUGUUUGAUCCACCGAAUAAUAGGAAAGAAUUAAAGUUUUUAGAAACAAUAUCUCUUUGGUUGUCAUUUUUAUUUUAUUUUAUCACCACAUAACUCUGUUUUAAAAAAACUAGUAUCUCUUUCGCAUACAAAUAAUUGGUAAACGAAUUCGGCAACGUAGCGUUUUUGUAUUUUAAAAAAUGUACCAUCAAGGUCCAUUAAUUCGAUAAUAUAUUGGGAUUUGAUUCUGGCCUUAGUUUCAGUAAGAUAAUAUUGAGAAAUCGAAAUUCCAAUCUACCGUGGUUCCAUCACAGAUUUACUAAAGUUCAUACUUACGUACCAACAAACAACGCCGUCCUUGGAGUCAUAUAUACUUAAUUGCAAGUUUUACUCGUUUAGGUUGCCAAGUUAUUUAUGGCAUGAAACAAAAUAUGUCAAUUUAGUUACCGUUUUGUUCAACAAAUUAAUCUCUGAAAAAAAAAAAAAAAAAUCCUUUCACGAAUACGCAAUUUAUAGGAUUUAUAGUUAUGUACACAUGUGCAUGUGAAAAUUAAGCUACAUAUAUUCGACAGUUUGGAAAGCACUGGUAACUUAGAAAUUGAAGUUAUAUUGUUUCAAUAAUUUAAAGCCACUAAUUAUAUAAGGAAUAAAAUCGAAAUCUUAUUAUGCCAAUUUAUUUACCAUUAAAGUUCGAUACAUUGAUUUUUUAUUAUAGAAAAUCCAUACAUGAACAAUUCUUUGAAUCCAAUGCGCUCAUCAUGGCAUUGCUUAAAGUCAUACUUUUGUACAGCAAAUAUCGCCAAUAAUAAAAUAUAUAUACUUUGAAUUAAGGUCGUACUUGUAUUGGCUUGAAACCUAAUAUGCAAAUUUAGUUACCAUUCUAGUCGAACAAAAUCAUCUCUUAAAAUAAUAUUUCCUUUCAUGCAUACACAAUUUAUUUAACUUAUCAUUUCUAAACAUGCAUUUACAAAAAAUAAGUUAAAUAUAAUGUUAGGUUUGGAGAGCACGAAUAGGUUAGAAAUUAAGCUAUAUAGCUUGAAUAUGCACCUAAUAAUACUAGGCAUCAAAUCGCAAUCUUAUUAUCAUAACUUAUUUACCAUUAUAGUUCGAUAAAUUGAUUUGUUUACAAAAUUCAUGCAUGAACAAUUCGUUGAAUCCAACCUCACCAAGAUGUGCAAUCAUAGAAAAUAGUUUUCAAAUUCACCUAUAUAUAUUGUAGUCUUUUUAAAAACUUGUGACUCCGAAUUCAAGUUUUAUACCACGUACAAACCUAUAAUCCUUCCUUGCCUUCAACAAAUUGAAUAGAUAUGGAGAAAAGGUUCAUUCAAGUCAGCUUUCCUCAUUGUGUUCCCUCCUUGUUUCAUAUAAUGGUAAAAUACUUCUCUCAAUUUUUAUUUUGUUACAAUGAAGAGAAAAAUAUUCUUGACAUAAUAUAAUCCGAACGUUAAUCCUAACAACCUAGGCUAACCUCUGGGGCUGACUUCUUUGAACAAUACAACUGCAUAUAGUAAUUUUUUUCUCCAACCUGGUUGACCUCACUUAUUUUGAAAAUGUGUAUAUGUCCUUGAUACAUCGUUAAAAUUAUAUACUUUAACCUAACAAUUGUCGAUAUUUUCAACCAUAAAGUCGAGUUUAAGUGUAUAUUUUUGUAACGUAAACUUAAGCAUAAAGCAGUAUGUUCAAAAUAAAGGCAAAAAACAGUUUUAUUAUGAAUUAUGGAAAUAUUAAUUGUGGUAGGUGUGCAAUUUGGAGCCGAAGCAAGAGGUCCAGUUACUCGUUAUCCGUGCCAAACAUCUGCUCUAUGCGGCCCAUGCACAUGCGUCGAGAAUUGGUGUAAGUGUCCGCCAGAUAAAAUAUCGAAGUUCAUUCUUCAAGACAUCUCUACACACCCGCAAGCACAGAAGGAAAUGCCAUAAUCAGCGCUACUUCAUACAUCAAUAUAUAGCAUAUACUUAUGAAGUGCACCAAAAAUCUUAUGUUCUCCCAAUAUGUUCGUUAAAUGUUUGAGUGGAUAAUAAAUAACAUCACCUUCUUACUUAUGGCUUACUUGGUUUGAAUUUUUUUAUAUUUCAUAAUACUGUGAUGAUAAAGGUGUGGUACACGAGCAAACAGUGAAGUGAUUCUAAAUUACCGAACACAACGAAAAAAAGUAAUUGAAAUAGUGUAACACCAAACAAUUUUCGCUAAUUAGGCGACAACAUGAAAUUCAGAAGUUUAUAAGUAACGGUCUUCUAUUCUCAAACUGUUGUAGUAAAUAUGGCAAUUAUAAGUGAUGGUUCUGAAUGACCUCUUUUAAUCACUUGAAAAACAGAUAAAGUUGUACAGAUAAGGAUUACAACGAAGUUAACUAAUAUAAAAUAAUUGUAUAUUUUAGUUUCAAGCACGUAGUUCUGAAUCUCAAAACAAGUGAAUAUUACUAAUUUCUUUAGUGUGUGCUAAAUAUGAUUCUUUCUUACUAAUUUCGUGUUCGAUCCACUGAAUAACACGAAAGAAUUAAAGUUGUCAAAAACAAUAUUUCUUUUGUUGUCAUUUUUAUUUUAUUUUAUCACCACAUAACUCUGUUUUAAAUAAACUAGUAUCUCUUUCGCAUACAAAUAAUUGGUAAACGAGUUCGGCAACGUAGCGUUUUUGUAUUUUAAAAAAUGUACCAUCAAGGUCCAUUAAUUCGAUAAUAUAUUGGGAUUUGAUUCUGGCCUUAGUUUCGGUAAGAUAAUAUUGAGUAAUCGAAAUUCCAAUCUACCGUGGUUCCAUCACAGAUUUACUAAAGUUCAUACUUACGUACCAACAAACAACGCCGUCCUUGAAGUCAAUAAUUGCAAGUUGUACUCGUUUAGGUUUCCAAGUUAUUUAUGGCAUGAAACAUAAUAUGUUAAUUUAGUUACCGUUUUGUUCAACAAAUUAAUCUCUUGAAAAAAAAAAAAAAUCCUUUCACGAAUACGCAAUUUAUAGGAUUUAUAGUUAUGUACACAUGUACAUGUGAAAAUUAAGUUACAUAUAUUCGACAGUUUGGAAAGCACUGGUAACUUAGAAAUUUAAGUUAUAUUGUUUCAAUAAUUUCAAGCCACUAAUUAUAUAAGGAAUAAAAGCGAAAUCCGAUUAUGCCAAUUCAUUUACCAUUAUAGUUCAAUACAUUGAUUUUUUAUUAUAGAAAAUCCAUACAUGAACAAUUCUUUGAAUCCAAUGCGCUCGUCAUGGCGUUGCUUAAAGUCAUACUUUUGUACAGCAAAUAAAGCCAUUAAUAAAAUAUAUAUACUUUGAAUUAAGGUCGUACUUGUUUUGGCUUGAAACCUAAUAUGCUAAUUUAGUUACCAUUCUGAUCGAACAAAUUCAUCUCUUAAAAUAAUAUUUCCUUUCAUGAAUGCACAAUUUAUUUAACUUACCGGUUCUAAACGUGCAUUUACAAAAAAUAAGUUACACACAAUCUUUGGUUUGGUGAGCACAAAUAAGUUAGAAAUUAAGCUAUAUGGCUUGAAUAUGCACCUAAUUAGACUAGGCAUCAAAUCGCAAUCUUAUUAUCAUAACUUAUUUACCAUUAUAGUUCGAUAAAUUGAUUUGUUUACAAAAUUCAUGCAUGAACAAUUCGUUGAAUCCAACUUCACCGAGAUGUGCAAUCAUAGAACAUAGUUUUCAAAUUCACCUAUAUAUAUUGUAGUCUUUUUAAAAACUAGUGACACCGAAUUCAAGUUUUAUACCACGUACAAACCUAUAAUCCUUCCUUGCCUUCAACAAAUUGAAUAGAUAUGGAGAAAGGUUCAUUCAAGUCAGCUUUCCUCAUUGUGCUCCUUCUUGUUUCAUAUAAUGGUAAAAUACUUCUCUCAAUUUUUAUUUUUGUUACAAUGAAAGAGAAAUUUAUUCUUGACAUAAUAUAAUCCGAACGUUAAUCCUAACAACCUAGGCUAACCUCAGGGGCUGACUUCUUUGAACAAUAAAACUGCAUAUAGGAAUUUUUUUCUCCAACCUGGUUGACUUCACUUAUUUUGAAAAUGUGUAUAUGUCCUUGAUACCUCGUUAAAAUUAUAUAAUUUAACCUAACAAUUGUCGAUAUUUUCAGCCAUAAAGUAGAGUUUAAGUGUAUAUUUUUGUAACGUAAACUUAUGCAUAACACAGUAUGUUCACAAUAAAGGCAAAAAACAGUUUUAUUAUGAAUUAUCGAAAUAUUAAUUGUGGUAGGUGUGCAAUUUGGAGCCGAAGCAAGAGGUCCAGUUACUCGUUAACCAUGCCAAACAUCUGCUCUAUGCGGCCCAUGCACAUGCGUCGAGAAUUGGUGUAAGUGUCCGCCAGAUAAAAUAUCGAAGUUCAUUCUUCAAGACAUCUCUACACACCCGCAAGCACAUAAGGAAAUGCCAUAAUCAGCGCUACUCGAUACAUCAAUAUAUAGCAUAUACUUAUGACGUGCACCAAAAAUCUUAUAUUCUCCCAAUAUGUUCGUUAAAUGUUCGAAUGGAUAAUAAAUAACAUCACCUUCUUACUUAUAGCUUACUUGGUUUGAAUUUUUUUAUAUUUCAUAAUACUGUGAUGAUAAAAAGGUGUGGUACACGAGCAAACAGUGAAGUAAUUCUAAAUUACCGAACACAACGAAAAAAAGGCAAUUGAAAUAGUGUAACACCUAACAAUUUUCGCUAAUUAGGCGACAACAUGAAAUUCAAAAGUUUAUAAGAAAUAGUCUUCUAUUCUCAAACUGUUGUAGUAAAUAAGGCAAAUAUAUAAGUGAUGGUUCUGAAUGACCUCUUUUAAUCACUUGAAAAACAUAUAAAGUUGUACAGAUAAGGAUUACAACGAAGUUAACUAAUAUAAAAUAAUUGUAUAUUUUAGUUUCAAGCACGUAGUUCUGAAUCUCAAAACAAGUAAAUAUUACUAAUUUCUUUAGUGUGUGCUAAAUAUGAUUCUUUCUUACUAAUUCCGUGUUCCAAUCUACCGUGGUUCCAUCACAGAUUUACUAAAGUUCAUACUUACUUACCAACAAACAACGCCGUCCUUGGAGUCAUAUAUACUUUAAUUGCAAGUUGUACUCGUUUAGGUUGCCAAGUUAUUUAUGGCAUGAAACAAAAUAUGUCAAUUUAGUUACCGUUUUGUUCAACA
Molecule: long non-coding RNA, 5993 nt
Filed under: Prunus persica (peach)
Lineage: Eukaryota; Viridiplantae; Streptophyta; Magnoliopsida; Rosales; Rosaceae
Description: long non-coding RNA (PPER_LNC006777)
Source: RNAcentral